UACGGAGGGGACUAGCGUUGUUCGGAAUUACUGGGCGUAAAGCGCGCGUAGGCGGGCUGGUCAGUUGGGGGUGAAAUCCCGGAGGCUUAACCUCGGAACUGCCUUCAAUACUGCCAGUCUUGAGUUCGGAAGAGGUGAGUGGAAUUCCUAGUGUAGAGGUGAAAUUCAUAGAUAUUAGGAAGAACACCAGUGGGCGAAAGGCGGCUCACUGGUCCCGAUACUGACGCUGAGGUGCGAAAGCGUGGGGAGCGAAACAGGAUUGAGAUACCCGGGUAGUCC
This 279-nucleotide ribosomal RNA is filed under the name uncultured bacterium. RNAcentral describes it as "partial 16S ribosomal RNA". It matches the Rfam family "Bacterial small subunit ribosomal RNA", at positions 524 to 796 of the family's 1533-position model. The record is from RNAcentral.